UACGGAGGGUGCAAGCGUUGCUCGGAAUUACUGGGCGUAAAGGGCGUGUAGGCGGUUUCGUAUGUCUGGCGUGAAAGCCCCGGGCUCACCUCGGGAAGCGCGUCGGAAACUGCGAGACUAGAGUCCCGGAGAGGGAGGUGGAAUUCCAGGUGUAGCGGUGAAAUGCGUAGAUAUCAUGAGGAAUACCAGAGGCGAAGGCGGCUACCUGGACAAUUGCUGACGCUCAGGCACGAAAGCGUGGGGAGCAAAAGGG
This 253-nucleotide ribosomal RNA is filed under the name uncultured bacterium. Its description in RNAcentral is "partial 16S ribosomal RNA". It matches the Rfam family "Bacterial small subunit ribosomal RNA", at positions 524 to 776 of the family's 1533-position model. The record is from RNAcentral.